Potamilus streckersoni is the source of this 64-nucleotide non-coding RNA. Lineage: Eukaryota; Metazoa; Mollusca; Bivalvia; Unionida; Unionidae. The record is from the annotation of a GenBank genome assembly.
GUCUGUGGCGUAACCGGUUAGUGUAUUCGGCUGUUAACCGAAAGGUUCAAACCCACCAGAGACG